AACGCACAUUGCGCCCCGGGGUAUUCCCCAGGGCAUGCGUGGGUGAGCGAUAUUUACUCUCAAACCUCCGGUUUGGUCCUGCUUCGGCAUAAUAUCAACGGCGCUAGAAUAAGUUUUAGCCCCAUUCUUCUUCCUCACCCUCGUAAGACUACCCGCUGAACUUAA
RNAcentral lists this unclassified non-coding RNA (165 nucleotides) under uncultured Metschnikowia. RNAcentral describes it as "sequence contains ITS2". The record is from RNAcentral. Lineage: Eukaryota; Fungi; Ascomycota; Pichiomycetes; Serinales; Metschnikowiaceae.